Molecule: ribosomal RNA, 453 nt
Filed under: uncultured bacterium
Lineage: Bacteria
Description: bacterial SSU rRNA
Rfam family: Bacterial small subunit ribosomal RNA
Source: RNAcentral
AACGAACGCUGGCGGCAGGCCUAACACAUGCAAGUCGAGCGGUAACAGGGAAAGCUUGCUUUCUGCUGACGAGCGGCGGACGGGUGCGUAACACGUAGGAAUCUGCCUGGUAGUGGGGGAUAGCCCGGAGAAAUCCGGAUUAAUACCGCAUACGCCCUACGGGGGAAAGGAGGGGAUCUUCGGACCUUUCGCUAUCAGAUGAGCCUGCGUCGGAUUAGCUAGUUGGUAAGGUAACGGCUUACCAAGGCGACGAUGUCUAGGGGUUCUGAGAGGAUGAUCCCCCACACUGGUACUGAGACACGGACCAGACUCCUACGGGAGGCAGCAGUGAGGAAUAUUGGUCAAUGGACGCAAGUCUGAACCAGCCAUCCCGCGUGAAGGAUGACUGCCCUAUGGGUUGUAAACUUCUUUUAUACGCAAAUAAACCUACUUUCGUGAAAGUAGCUGAAGGUA